GGUCCUUUGGGCUAGUUAUUUUCUUGAUGCCUGCCACAGGCUUGAAAUGUGGUGAUGGUAGUCCACAGAACUAGCCACUUUGUUAUCCUUUGCAUGGAUGGUUGUAGUAGUUCACAGGACUAGCUACUUUUUUUGCCUUAUCAUGGGCUUGAUAUAUAAUCAUGGUAGUCUAGAGCCGAGCACCUUAAUAUGAUCAGAUUCAAUGUGUGUUUUCUUGAGAUAAUUAUAAGAUGUGAUUUAUUGUACAAAAAGAU
RNAcentral lists this long non-coding RNA (254 nucleotides) under Elaeis guineensis (African oil palm). Its description in RNAcentral is "long non-coding RNA (EGUI_LNC033003)". The record is from RNAcentral. Lineage: Eukaryota; Viridiplantae; Streptophyta; Magnoliopsida; Arecales; Arecaceae.